This 253-nucleotide ribosomal RNA is filed under the name uncultured bacterium. RNAcentral describes it as "partial 16S ribosomal RNA". It matches the Rfam family "Archaeal small subunit ribosomal RNA", at positions 474 to 727 of the family's 1478-position model. The record is from RNAcentral.
UACCAGCACCCCGAGUGGUCGGGACGAUUAUUGGGCCUAAAGCAUCCGUAGCCGGUUCUUUAAGUCCUCCGUUAAAUCCACCUGCUUAACAGAUGGGCUGCGGAGGAUACUAUAGAGCUAGGAGGCGGGAGAGGCAAGCGGUACUCAAUGGGUAGGGGUAAAAUGCGUAGAUAUCAUUUGGAACGCCAAUGGUGAAAACAGGUUGCUGGGAGUGUGCUGACGCUGAGACACGAAAGCCAGGGGAGCGAACGGG